Molecule: transfer RNA, 87 nt
Filed under: Vibrio parahaemolyticus
Lineage: Bacteria; Pseudomonadati; Pseudomonadota; Gammaproteobacteria; Vibrionales; Vibrionaceae
Description: tRNA-Leu
Rfam family: tRNA
About the family: Transfer RNA (tRNA) molecules are approximately 80 nucleotides in length. Their secondary structure includes four short double-helical elements and three loops (D, anti-codon, and T loops).
Source: RNAcentral
GCCCGAAUGGUGGAAUUGGUAGACACAAGGGAUUUAAAAUCCCUCGGCGCACGCGCUGUGCGAGUUCAAGUCUCGCUUCGGGCACCA